GACGAACGCUGGCGGCGUGCCUAACACAUGCAAGUCGAGCGGAACUGGGGGAGCUUGCUCCUUCCAGUUUAGCGGCGGACGGGUGAGUAACACGUGGGCAACCUGCCCUGCAGAUCGGGAUAACUCCGGGAAACCGGUGCUAAUACCGAAUAGUUUGGCGCCUCUCCUGAGGCGCCACGGAAAGACGGUUUAGGCUGGCACUGCAGGAUGGGCCCGCGGCGCAUUAGCUAGUUGGUGGGGUAACGGCCCACCAAGGCGGCGAUGCGUAGCCGACCUGAGAGGGUGACCGGCCACACUGGGACUGAGACACGGCCCAGACUCCUACGGGAGGCAGCAGUAGGGAAUCUUCCGCAAUGGACGCAAGUCUGACGGAGCAACGCCGCAUGAGUGACGAAGGUUUUCGGAUCGUAAAACUCUGUUGUGAGGGAAGAACACGUACCAACUAACUAUUGGUACCUUGACGGUACCUCACCAGAAAGCCACGGCUAACUACGUGCCAGCCGCCGCGGUAA
This 512-nucleotide ribosomal RNA is filed under the name uncultured bacterium. RNAcentral's name for it is "partial 16S ribosomal RNA". It matches the Rfam family "Bacterial small subunit ribosomal RNA", at positions 28 to 523 of the family's 1533-position model. The record is from RNAcentral.